CAGAAUUUGGGGAGUUCCAAAACUCCCCGGGCCUCUAACCCAGAUACAGAAUUUGGGGAGUUCCAAAACUCCCCGGGCCUCUAACCCAGCUGAACCUUUACACACAAUAAAUACUUCGAGGUGCCCCUAAGUCCUCUGGCCUCUAACCCGACUGGUUGCCAAGACUCUAACUCGCAACUCUCCACCGUCCCCGUCGGGAAGUGGCGUAGGGUAGUCAACCCUAGAACGAUUAACGGGCCUCUAACCCGACUUACAGUGAGACUCUAACUCACACACCGGUAACGGGCCUCUAACCCGACUUACAGUGAGACUCUAACUCACAGACCGUUCCUCUGACCUCCUGAAUUUAAACCAGUCUCCCAAUACGUUUUCCACAGGUUCAAAAUUUAGUUCAUAGCCAAUAUGCAGAUUUAGAUAUAACAGGCUCUGCUUACCUUUUUUAUGAUGCACCGGUGCUGGAACCUGUGAGUCCCGUGUAGUUCAACUGGACCAAGUCGAAUUCCUUCUCCCUUUUUCCAAUCCCGGACUGAGCCCCCAAAUUGUUGAAGUCUAACACUUCCCCGAGUUGGUUUGUUGGAAAGGAGAAUAAAACACCAGGAGUCAGGGCAAAUACCGUAUCAUACGUCCAUUUAUUACAGAAGCUUCUGGAGACACGUGUCGCCGCACAAUGUCUAAGGAUCAACAGUCAAAACAUCAUUUUAUACUUCUACUACGCCCAAAAAGAUAGAGGCGUUAACUUACAAAGCAAGUGUGUCCUUGGCCCAAUCCCAGUUCUAUUCCUUAUAGGAUAACUGCAAGUACCCCCCUUGCCCCCCUUGUGGUGUCUGUGUUGUCUGUCCGACUAUGUGUGUGUGUCUCUAACCUGUGUCCUGUUUCUCACAAAACAGACAUACUAAAUCUUUCUCUCCCCGGCAACCGCUUGAACAGGGUUUCCUAUUCUCCUACUUGCUCCUUCAGUUUCAGCUCAUAUUACAAACAAUUAAUAUUCUGCUUCAUUGGUUACAACAGCUUAUAACAGUUCACUAACUAAUACAAUCAAUACAUCUACAAUAGCUAGCUAAACCUUCUGGCUAAAUAGACAUGACUUGAUUAGCCACGAACCGGUCCUUUUUAAGUUAUAACAAGCGAAGGGCUGAUUCGGGGGUAACGUUAAGCAAGUAGUUGCUCUUUUUACUAGCCUGGUCAGCUAACGUCCUGCCGUGGGUAGCGUGUCUUACAGAAAAAUAUAAACAAGACGUGAUCUGUGCCUGUUUAUGAUAAUAACCAUUGCUAAUCUAGACCAUGUUAAGCACACA
Molecule: long non-coding RNA, 1295 nt
Organism: Esox lucius (northern pike)
Lineage: Eukaryota; Metazoa; Chordata; Actinopteri; Esociformes; Esocidae
Source: Ensembl